This 496-nucleotide ribosomal RNA is filed under the name uncultured bacterium. RNAcentral describes it as "partial 16S ribosomal RNA". It matches the Rfam family "Bacterial small subunit ribosomal RNA", at positions 28 to 506 of the family's 1533-position model. The record is from RNAcentral.
GAUGAACGCUGGCGGCGUGCCUAAUACAUGCAAGUCGAGCGAACAGACGAGGAGCUUGCUCCUCUGACGUUAGCGGCGGACGGGUGAGUAACACGUGGAUAACCUACCUAUAAGACUGGGAUAACUUCGGGAAACCGGAGCUAAUACCGGAUAAUAUAUUGAACCGCAUGGUUCAAUAGUGAAAGACGGUUUUGCUGUCACUUAUAGAUGGAUCCGCGCCGCAUUAGCUAGUUGGUAAGGUAACGGCUUACCAAGGCGACGAUGCGUAGCCGACCUGAGAGGGUGAUCGGCCACACUGGAACUGAGACACGGUCCAGACUCCUACGGGAGGCAGCAGUAGGGAAUCUUCCGCAAUGGGCGAAAGCCUGACGGAGCAACGACGCGUGAGUGAUGAAGGUCUUCGGAUCGUAAAACUCUGUUAUUAGGGAAGAACAAAUGUGUAAGUAACUAUGCACGUCUUGACGGUACCUAAGCAGAAAGCCACGGCUAACUACGU